RNAcentral lists this microRNA precursor (76 nucleotides) under Myotis davidii. RNAcentral's name for it is "mir-9229 microRNA precursor family". It matches the Rfam family "mir-9229 microRNA precursor family". Lineage: Eukaryota; Metazoa; Chordata; Mammalia; Chiroptera; Vespertilionidae. The record is from Rfam by way of RNAcentral.
GAGAUACCCUUCUGGGGCAAGACUUGCUUCAGUGGGGCUUUGCUGCUCACUGAGUCUGCCCUCUGAGUGUGUCCCU